Nomascus leucogenys (northern white-cheeked gibbon) is the source of this 99-nucleotide small nuclear RNA. The record is from Ensembl. Lineage: Eukaryota; Metazoa; Chordata; Mammalia; Primates; Hylobatidae.
GUGCUCGCUCACUUCUACAGCACAUCCACUAAAACUGGAAUGAUUAGCGUGGCCCCUGUGCAAGGGUAAACACAAAUUUGUGAAGCAUUCCAUAUGGUG